AACGCACAUUGCGCUCCCUGGUAUUCCGGGGAGCAUGCCUGUUCGAGCGUCAUUUCACCACUCAAGCAAAGCUUGGUAUUGGGUGCUUGCCCCCCGGGGCACACCUGGAAAUUAGCGGCGGUAUAUCAAUUCAUACGGCGUAGUAAUUAUAUUUUCGUUGAAUAUGAUUUUGAUAAACCAGCCGGACAACCAACAAAUAUUUUUCAAUGGUUGACCUCGGAUCAGGUAGGGAUACCCGCUGAACUUAA
Molecule: unclassified non-coding RNA, 248 nt
Filed under: uncultured fungus
Lineage: Eukaryota; Fungi
Description: sequence contains ITS2
Rfam family: 5.8S ribosomal RNA (bases 1-52)
Source: RNAcentral